UAACGAGCCGUCUUGGUGACCUGGUAGCCAUGGAUCUGAUCACUCAGCCUUGGACUCAGCGAUGCCGGGAAGAUGGGGAAGAGGAUGUGGAAUGUCCCACCAGGACUUCUCCAUGUCAAAGUCAGAAGCCACACACCAGCGCUCACUGGGAUGUGAACCAUGGAGAUGAGCGAGGCUGUGCCCAACCUCUAC
This is a long non-coding RNA of Mustela erminea (ermine), 192 nucleotides long. RefSeq lists it as uncharacterized. Lineage: Eukaryota; Metazoa; Chordata; Mammalia; Carnivora; Mustelidae. The record is from RefSeq and is a predicted model, not a curated record. The transcript has 3 exons.